UUCACAUAUUUCUUCUCCACUCUCUAUCUGGAAGUUCCUGGUCAUAUCGGAGCAUCCCUCUAAUUUCCAAACAUUCUAAGGAUCACUUGUUAGUGUUCCUUUCCAGCUCUUUUCGUUUUUAUAGGCUUUUAUAAGACGAAAGUCAAGCAAAUUGACUUUUGCUUUGACUUUCAUUUUAGACCAUUAUGGUCCAGCAAUUGUUCGAAUCGAACAUGGCUACGUGAUCGUAAUAAGCUCAUCCAAUACCCGAUACCGACUAUGCACGCUUGGGAUACGGUAAAUUCUUACUGCUUGGUCAGGCAUGCGAUCAAAUGUUGGAUUGUGACUAGAAAAUCCACAUAACCUGUUUUAAUUUAUUUUGUCUGAUAUCCUCAGCUCAUUUAAUGGCAAAUGGCCACGACUUAAGCAUGGGGUGUAGGCAUACACCUGACAGAUGUUAAUGCUAUUAUAAAAUAUUUUCUACCCAUAUUGGGGAUACCUUUUUAUGGGUUAAAAGCGGUGUGUCGGUUAAUCAUGUUAUUUAGUUUCUGUACAAGGCCUCAUAUGUAUUAACAGGCAUGUAAAACUGUAUACAAGAUAAUUGUUAUUGUCCCAAGUUAUUUAUAAAAUUACAUGUGCCUUUGUGCACUUAAAACAAUUUGAAAUAUUUUCAAAAUUUGUCGGUUACUUGUGUCUAACGAUGUAAACUGACGUAUCUUCAAAAGACUAAGUGACAGGUUCCAAGGUUACAAAAUAGGCUGGAAGUGCCAGUAAUGCUUAAGAGGAAUUUGUGACUCCUUGCAUUAGAAGCCUAUUAGUCUGUUAUUUCAUUUUGUACAUUUACGAUCCGCCUGUGGAUCUUUUGAUACAUUAUCCGUCUGUAUAAUAUUUUGAACACUCGGACAUUUAUAUUGUAAUAUUUUAAAUCCAAGACUUCC
RNAcentral lists this long non-coding RNA (917 nucleotides) under Helianthus annuus (common sunflower). RNAcentral describes it as "sRNA HanXRQr2_Chr16g0766781". The record is from RNAcentral. Lineage: Eukaryota; Viridiplantae; Streptophyta; Magnoliopsida; Asterales; Asteraceae.